UCUCGAAUACAUCCAUGUGGUGUUAAGCCUCGUGAAUGAAAAGAUGAAAAAGUAGGAAUAGAAUUGGUCCAGUUGAAAUGAGAAAGGUUUCGGGGACGAAACCUCUUUUAAGGGGGGUAGAUUUGUAACGCCCAAAAAAUGAAAACUCAAUAAAACAAGUGAGGAUAAAUAACAAACUUAACAUAAUUAAGGAUUUAUGGCAAGAUGGUAGUGAAAUGUAGUUUAAAGAUUAGAUUUGUAAUUAGCAACUAAGUGAAGGGGGUAAAGUGCAAAGUGGUUAAACUUAAAUUAGUUAAAAAAAAAAACAAACUAACCCCCAAACACAGUGAGUGUGUCUGGGGGAACGAUCGAACAAGGAAGGAGGAGGGGGAAACCCUAAACUCAAGAAAUCAAGCAAUUGAAGCCUAAAAUCAUAAGAAAAUCCAGUGCAUGAGCCAUCUUAUCGAUCAUCUAAGCAUACCUAGUGAAGUGCUUGAAAGAAUAAGAACCAUGCCAAGAUGGACCAACUCAUGGGAAGCAAACGGGUCAAAGAGGAGGCAAAGAAACUAGCAUAAACAUGACGAGCACGAGGUUAUGAAUGUCGGACUUUCAAAGUGUUGAUAUAAUAAUGAAACGGUUGAAUCUUGAAAGGAUAAUCGGAUUGAAGUAACUUAUGCGGUUAGAAUAUGCUGUGGACGUUUUAGUUUAUACAACAUUUUAUGUUUGGUCGUCAUCAUCUACCAACGGGUAAAUCCUCAAUUCAGGCGACUUGGAGAAUCGGAGCGAGCGCGUGUUCAUG
RNAcentral lists this long non-coding RNA (778 nucleotides) under Helianthus annuus (common sunflower). Lineage: Eukaryota; Viridiplantae; Streptophyta; Magnoliopsida; Asterales; Asteraceae. The record is from RNAcentral.